UCCAUUAAAAAGUAAAAACUCAAAAAGUUUUACAUGUUUACAACAAAAUCCAUGUAAUCUAUGUAUACAUCAAUCAACUCUCUAAGAAAGGAAAAAAGGUAAAAUAUAAAAUGAACAAAGGAAGGAAGGAAGGAAGGAAGGAAGGAAGGAAUGUUACUCACCUUAACAGUGCCAGCUUUUACAAGACCAAGCAAGAAGCAAACUAUGAAAACAAUCUGUUGCUUGAUAACUCCCACGAUAUGAACAC
RNAcentral lists this long non-coding RNA (247 nucleotides) under Cucumis sativus (cucumber). RNAcentral describes it as "long non-coding RNA (CSAT_LNC001329)". The record is from RNAcentral. Lineage: Eukaryota; Viridiplantae; Streptophyta; Magnoliopsida; Cucurbitales; Cucurbitaceae.